RNAcentral lists this ribosomal RNA (357 nucleotides) under uncultured bacterium. Its description in RNAcentral is "bacterial SSU rRNA". It matches the Rfam family "Bacterial small subunit ribosomal RNA", at positions 917 to 1271 of the family's 1533-position model. The record is from RNAcentral.
GGGCUCACACAAGCGGUGGAGGAUGUGGCUUAAUUCGAGGCUACGCGAAGAACCUUAUCCUGGUCUUGACAUGUUUGAGAAUCCUCCCGAAAGGGAGGAGUGCCCUCGGGGAGCUCUUACACAGGUGCUGCAUGGCUGUCGUCAGCUCGUGUCGUGAGAUGUCGGUUAAGUCCCUUAACGAGCGAAACCCUUGUCCCUAGUUGCCAGCGAGUUAUGUCGGGGACUCUAGGGAGACUGCCGGUGUUAAACCGGAGGAAGGUGGGGAUGACGUCAAGUCCUCAUGGCCUUUAUGAUCAGGGCUGCACACGUCCUACAAUGGCGCGUACAAAGGGAAGCGAACUCGCGAGAGCAAGCAAA